This 72-nucleotide transfer RNA is filed under the name Prochlorococcus sp. RNAcentral's name for it is "tRNA-Val". It matches the Rfam family "tRNA". Rfam says of the family: Transfer RNA (tRNA) molecules are approximately 80 nucleotides in length. Their secondary structure includes four short double-helical elements and three loops (D, anti-codon, and T loops). RNAcentral also lists the same sequence under 5 other names. Lineage: Bacteria; Bacillati; Cyanobacteriota; Cyanophyceae; Synechococcales; Prochlorococcaceae. The record is from RNAcentral.
AGGCGAUUAGCUCAGCGGUAGAGCGCCUGCCUUACAAACAGGCUGUCGCUGGUUCAACCCCAGCAUCGCCAA